RNAcentral lists this transfer RNA (71 nucleotides) under Dipodomys ordii (Ord's kangaroo rat). It matches the Rfam family "tRNA". From Rfam's summary of the family: Transfer RNA (tRNA) molecules are approximately 80 nucleotides in length. Their secondary structure includes four short double-helical elements and three loops (D, anti-codon, and T loops). Lineage: Eukaryota; Metazoa; Chordata; Mammalia; Rodentia; Heteromyidae. The record is from Rfam by way of RNAcentral.
GGGUAUAGUUCAUGUGGUAGAAUACUUGUUUUCCAAGUGUGAGAACCUGGGUUCAAACCCCAGUACUAUCA